UCACACCUCGAUACAUAAUCUGAAACUCAUGUUUUAUCUCAAAUUUUUGGAGUUUCAUCUUUAAUGAAUUAUAAAUGAAAGGGGGAACAAUUCAAAAAAGUCAAAUUGGCAACAUUUGAAUGAUAUAGGGGGAGACUUCACUCUUAUAUAUGAAAAGCUGAAAUUCAGCAAGUUAAGCCCAUUCAAAAACUGAUUUUAAGAUAAGUAUCAAUAGGCUCAUACUCUUUAUUUUGUAAUCAUCAAAAAGGGGGAGAUUGAGAAUGAUAGUGUUAUUUUGAUGAUUAACAAGCAUUUAACAAGAGUAUGUUAUAAGUUAAAACGAUACUUCAUUUAUAAGUCUGUUACUCUCAGUAUAUUUGUAUAAAUUGAUAUAGAUACAUUUCAUUGUUUAUAUGAAUGAAUCUAACCUUGAGAUGCAGCAAACUGUGGAUUGAGUCGACCCAAAGGAUGA
This 451-nucleotide long non-coding RNA is filed under the name Phoenix dactylifera (date palm). Its description in RNAcentral is "long non-coding RNA (PDAC_LNC013014)". The record is from RNAcentral. Lineage: Eukaryota; Viridiplantae; Streptophyta; Magnoliopsida; Arecales; Arecaceae.